AGAGUUUGAUCCUGGCUCAGAAUCAACGCUGGCGGCGUGCCUAACACAUGCAAGUCGAACGAGAAAGGGUAGCAAUACCUGAGUACAGUGGCGCACGGGUGAGUAACACGUGACUAACCUACCCUGGAGUGGGGAAUAACUGAGGGAAACCUUAGCUAAUACCGCAUAAUACCUACGGGUCAAAGGAGCAAUUCGCUUCAGGAGGGGGUCGCGGCCGAUUAGCUAGUUGGCGGGGUAAUGGCCCACCAAGGCAAUGAUCGGUAUCCGGCCUGAGAGGGCGCACGGACACACUGGAACUGAAACACGGUCCAGACUCCUACGGGAGGCAGCAGUGGGGAAUUUUGCGCAAUGGGGGAAACCCUGACGCAGCAACGCCGCGUGGAGGAUGAAAUCCCUUGGGAUGUAAACUCCUUC
Molecule: ribosomal RNA, 414 nt
Filed under: uncultured bacterium
Lineage: Bacteria
Description: bacterial SSU rRNA
Rfam family: Bacterial small subunit ribosomal RNA
Source: RNAcentral